CCUACGGGAGGCAGCAGUGAGGAAUAUUGGUCAAUGGACGAGAGUCUGAACCAGCCAAGCAGCGUGAAGGAUGACUGUCCUAUGGGCUGUAAACUUUUUUUAUAUGGGAAUAAAACAGGGUAUGUAUACCUUCUCGUAUGUACGAUACGAAUAAGGAUCGGCUAACUCCGUUCCAGCAGCCGCGGUAAUACGGAGGAUCCGAGCGUUAUCCGGAUUUAUUGGGUUUAAAGUGAGCGUAGGUGGUUUGUUAAGUCAGUUGUGAAAGUUUGCGGCUCAACCGUAGAAUUGCAGUUGAUACUGGCAGUCUUGAGUGCAGAAGAGGUGGGCGGAAUUCGAGGUGUAGCGGUGAAAUGCUUAGAUAUAUCGAGGAACUCCGAUUGCGAAGGCAGCUCACUGGUCUGCAACUGACGCUGAUGCGCGAAAGUGUGGGUAUCAAACAGGAUUAGAUACCCUAGUAGUC
Molecule: ribosomal RNA, 460 nt
Filed under: uncultured bacterium
Lineage: Bacteria
Description: partial 16S ribosomal RNA
Rfam family: Bacterial small subunit ribosomal RNA
Source: RNAcentral